Molecule: unclassified non-coding RNA, 278 nt
Filed under: plant metagenome
Description: partial contains small subunit ribosomal RNA and internal transcribed spacer 1
Rfam family: Eukaryotic small subunit ribosomal RNA (bases 1-54)
Source: RNAcentral
AGAAGUAAAAGUCGUAACAAGGUUUCCGUAGGUGAACCUGCGGAAGGAUCAUUAUCGAAAUACUUAUCUAGCGUUCCGUGCUAUCCCAUUGUUUUAUUUACCCUGUUGCUUCCACUGGAUGAGUUUCCAUACCUUGUGUUUGAGAAACUUUGGCUUGUGUAAGAUUCAUUCACGGCCAGCCAGUGAGAAGACCAUUUACAAAACCCUGUUAAGAACCAAUUGUCUGAAUAUUUUACUCCAAUGAAAUAAAACUUUCAACAACGGAUCUCUAGGCUCUU